CAGCCGUAAACAAUGUGCGUUAGGUGUGUCGGUAACCACGCGUUACCGAUGCGCCGAAGAGAAAUCGUGAAACGCACCACCUGGGAAGUACGGUCGCAAGGCUGAAACUUAAAGGAAUUGGCGGGGGAGCACCACAACAGGUGGAGCCUGCGGUUUAAUUGGAUUCAACGCCGGACAUCUCACCGGAUAGGACAGCAGAAUGAUUGCCGGGCUGAAGACCCUGCAUGACUAGCUGAGAGGAGGUGCAUGGCGUAGACGUCU
RNAcentral lists this ribosomal RNA (261 nucleotides) under uncultured archaeon. Its description in RNAcentral is "partial 16S ribosomal RNA". It matches the Rfam family "Archaeal small subunit ribosomal RNA", at positions 748 to 1009 of the family's 1478-position model. The record is from RNAcentral.